Molecule: long non-coding RNA, 2301 nt
Organism: Cornus florida
Lineage: Eukaryota; Viridiplantae; Streptophyta; Magnoliopsida; Cornales; Cornaceae
Exons: 3
Source: RefSeq, a predicted model, not a curated record
CCCCAUGGCCGGCCCUGACCCAAGGCCACAAAGGUAGUCAUUUCGUUUUUAGGGCAAAUCAUUCCAGCCUCCCCCAUCGCCUCCAUCUCUAUUCUGGUUCUCGACUCUGAAUUUGCCCUCUCUCUCUAUCACUGCAAACUACGAAAUCUACAAGAAUCAGAGGUUCAAAACCCAUAUAUUUGAGUUUGUCUAUCUGUCUACAAGAAUCAAAAGUUCAAAACCCAUAUCGGCAUAUCAUUUCAGAUUGUUCAAAAAAUCAAAACCCAUACCUUUCAGUUUCCAUCGCCCGCUGUUCCAGUUCGGGUUCGCCGUUCGCAAGCUUCAUCCGCUGUCUCUCAACUCUCAAGCUUGCCCCCCUCUCUCUCUGCAACUGCUAACUUGUAUGUAUUGGUUUUGUUUUUAUUUUUUUUUUCUAAAUCAACUAAUCAAGCUCUGUAAUUCUUGUUUUGCAAACUAAAAUUAGGUGUAAUCUUGAUUUUGUAAAGGUAAAUUUGGCAUCAUAAAUACAUCAAGCCUCUCCUUCCCUUUCCUUUCCAUUUCCUCCCAAAAAUUACUGUUUAUGCCUUGUGUUAUCCUUCCCAAAUUAUCCCUUUCCUUCCAACCAUUUAUGAUAAACACAAAUUUGUAAUCACCCUCCGUCACCUUUCCUUUCCAUUCCUCCCUUUUCCAUUGCACCAAACUGAUCCUAACCCUAGCUGCGCGUAGAUAGGUAACGUGCUCUUCCACGCGGGCGAAGACGAGUCUCCAUCUCUCCCUCUCCCUCUCCCUCUCCCUCUCCCUCUGGCUCUCUAUCUACGCCAUAUUUCCCGCGAUCUCGCACCUCUCCAUUUGGAUGGCUGAACGAGAAGUGAAUUCUGAUGGUGGAGGUUAGUGGCGAUUUAUUGUUCUAGGUUUGAAUUUAUGAUUAUAUAUAAUAUGAAUGUUCAUGCAUAUACACACGAAAUAUCUUGUUCUAUAUAUGUGUGUGUGUGUGUGUGUGUGUGAAUGUACACAUUUCACACACAAAAUCUUUUCCUCUGACGUUGUUUACCUAAUCGAGCGGAGCUCUGACAUUCAUGGGGAAGCUGGAGCCGAGCUCGGACAUUUUUGUGAACCAACCCCUGCUACAUGGCCAGUCAAGACUGACCGUUUGUCUUUGACUAGUAGGUGCGAAGUGUGUUACUGUCAAUCAAGUGUAACACCAACCAGUCACGAGUGCAUUCACUUGAGAUUAAAGCAAUUUACUAUUUACUAGUCUCUCUUUAAAUUUGACAACGCCCCUUUUCUAUCUGUUGUAUUUGUUCUUCUUUGCCCUUUUCAUUAAUGUUCUCGUUUGUGCUAUCUAGCUUUCAAAUAUUUAAUUCUUUGAUCUUUAUAAUUUAGGUGCUACCAAAUUUCCCAAUUACAAGGGAAAAAAAAAAAAAAAAUUCCCAACCACAAAAAGGUAGAAGUUGAUUGGAUUGGGCGGUGUUGGGAAAAAAAAAAAAAACAGGGAACAAUAACAAGGACGAAGAAGGUUUGAAAUUAACUGAAAAUUCCAAGGGUAAAGAUGACCCAUCUCUAGCUUCAGUAGACCCCUCCCCAGUCCCCAGUCCCCAGUCCCAGUUGCAGAAUUCAUCCAUUUUCUAGUUGUAGAAGUCGUCCCUUCUCCACCAUCUGAAACUUCUACUAAAACUGAAGGAGAGAAAAACUCCUUAGAUUCCAAGUCUGAAGGUGAUAGAACCAAGUCAGACUAAAAGGCUAAUUAUGAAGAUUUCCGGAAGGACAGAGAAGAUAUGAUGCUCAAGCUUACGGUCUGGUGCUGGUAGUGGGACUUGGUUCAUUGGGUUUACAAAUUGGAGUGUGGAUGACAUCUUAUAAUAGUGAAAAGGAUCAGAAUGCGAAAAUGAAUCUUCUGAUGAAGGAGUCCCUUGAAAAACAUGACACAAUGAUUGACAUCUACAAGGAAAUUGAGGUUUCUAUUGUUAAUCUAUACUUUAGUGGAAAUGUAUGCUUAAAUGAGUAUUUGUUACUAACAGGCCUAUGACCUAGCGGUAUCAAGCCCCUACUUCCUAAAGGGAGGUCAGAGGUUCGAAUCUCAGUGGAGGUAUGUGUGUGUGAGUAUAUGUUAAUUUUGAUUCUUCUUUUCUUUUAAGCAAUAGGAAGGAGGUCGUUGUUCCGUAGAAUUUUUGGCUUAAGAUAUUGUUUGCUAUCUCUAUUUAUUUAUGAUUGUUCAAAAAUCUGGGCAUUGACAGCUUAUGUGAAACUAAUGGUAUGUAUUUCUUUUGGCCUGAAAUAUAUCUUGAACCAUUUUAUAAACCUUCUAUUUAUUUGUACCUUAAA